RNAcentral lists this ribosomal RNA (253 nucleotides) under uncultured bacterium. RNAcentral describes it as "partial 16S ribosomal RNA". It matches the Rfam family "Bacterial small subunit ribosomal RNA", at positions 524 to 776 of the family's 1533-position model. The record is from RNAcentral.
UACGGGGGGGGCAAGCGUUGUUCGGAAUUACUGGGCGUAAAGGGCUCGUAGGUGGCCAACUAAGUCAGACGUGAAAUCCCUCGGCUUAACCGGGGAACUGCGUCUGAUACUGGAUGGCUUGAGUUUGGGAGAGGGAUGCGGAAUUCCAGGUGUAGCGGUGAAAUGCGUAGAUAUCAUGAGGAAGACCAGUGGCGAAGGCGGGUCUCUGGACAGUUCCUGACACUGAGGCACGAAGGCCAGGGGAGCAAACGGG